This 125-nucleotide non-coding RNA is filed under the name Stygamoeba regulata. The record is from RNAcentral. Lineage: Eukaryota; Discosea; Stygamoebida.
UUUUUUUUUUUUUUUUUUUUUUUUUUUCAGCUACAAUGAGCUGGUAAGUAACUAAAGGGUGAGAGAGUCUAGAGAAUAGAGCAUAGAGAGAGAGAAAGAGAGAGAAUUGCCUGUCAUCGUUUUGU